Molecule: ribosomal RNA, 235 nt
Filed under: uncultured bacterium
Lineage: Bacteria
Description: partial 16S ribosomal RNA
Rfam family: Bacterial small subunit ribosomal RNA
Source: RNAcentral
GAUCAUGGCUCAGGAUGAACGCUAGCUACAGGCUUAACACAUGCAAGUCGAGGGGAAACGACAUCGAAAGCUUGCUUUUGAUGGGCGUCGACCGGCGCACGGGUGAGUAACGCGUAUCCAACCUGCCUACCACUUGGGGAUAACCUUGCGAAAGUAAGACUAAUACCCAAUGACAUCCCACGAAGACAUCUGAAUGGGAAUUAAAGUAUUUAUCGGUGAUGGAGUGGGGAUGCGU